This 123-nucleotide small RNA is filed under the name human gut metagenome. Its description in RNAcentral is "Ribosomal protein L10 leader". It matches the Rfam family "Ribosomal protein L10 leader". Rfam says of the family: This family is a putative r-protein leader autoregulatory structure found in B. subtilis and other low-GC Gram-positive bacteria. It is located in the 5' untranslated regions of mRNAs encoding ribosomal proteins L10 and L12 (rplJ-rplL). A Rho-independent transcription terminator structure that is probably involved in regulation is included at the 3' end. The record is from RNAcentral.
UAAAUUAUAAGGUGUCCACAGACAGCAGGUGCAUAUUUGCUUAAUUUCCUGCCGAGGAUUUAAUUUUAACACUGUUAUUAUUGGGUUUCUCGUGGUCUGUGCGUGAAACCCUUUUUGUAUAUU